GUCCCUGUAGUGCAAUUGAUAACCCGUUGGACUUCUAAUCCAAAGGUCGUGGAUUUGAAUCCUACCUGGGAUG
RNAcentral lists this transfer RNA (73 nucleotides) under Trichonephila inaurata madagascariensis. It matches the Rfam family "tRNA". Rfam says of the family: Transfer RNA (tRNA) molecules are approximately 80 nucleotides in length. The record is from Rfam by way of RNAcentral. Lineage: Eukaryota; Metazoa; Arthropoda; Arachnida; Araneae; Nephilidae.